This 71-nucleotide transfer RNA is filed under the name Ablennes hians. Its description in RNAcentral is "tRNA-Thr". It matches the Rfam family "tRNA". Rfam says of the family: Transfer RNA (tRNA) molecules are approximately 80 nucleotides in length. Their secondary structure includes four short double-helical elements and three loops (D, anti-codon, and T loops). Lineage: Eukaryota; Metazoa; Chordata; Actinopteri; Beloniformes; Belonidae. RNAcentral also lists the same sequence under 1 other name. The record is from RNAcentral.
GCACUAGUAGCUCAGUCUAGAGCGCCGGCCUUGUAAGCCGGAGGCCGAAAGUUAAAAUCUUUCCUACUGCU